Molecule: transfer RNA, 71 nt
Filed under: Solenopsis substituta
Lineage: Eukaryota; Metazoa; Arthropoda; Insecta; Hymenoptera; Formicidae
Description: tRNA-Trp
Source: RNAcentral
AAAAUUUUAAGUUAAACCAAACUAUAAACCUUCAAAGUUUAAUAUAUAUAUUCUAAUAUAUAUAAAUUUUA